RNAcentral lists this ribosomal RNA (622 nucleotides) under uncultured bacterium. RNAcentral's name for it is "bacterial SSU rRNA". It matches the Rfam family "Bacterial small subunit ribosomal RNA", at positions 215 to 835 of the family's 1533-position model. The record is from RNAcentral.
CCGGCAUAGGAUGGACAUGCGUCGCAUUAGGUAGACGGCGGGGUAACGGCCCACCGUGCCGACGAUGCGUAGGGGUUCUGAGAGGAAGGCCCCCCACACUGGUACUGAGACACGGACCAGACUCCUACGGGAGGCAGCAGUGAGGAAUAUUGGUCAAUGGCCGAGAGGCUGAACCAGCCAAGUCGCGUGAGGGAAGAAUGUCCUAAGGAUUGUAAACCUCUUUUGUCGGGGAGCAAAAAGGCUCUGCGGAGUCGUAUUGAGAGUACCCGAAGAAAAAGCAUCGGCUAACUCCGUGCCAGCAGCCGCGGUAAUACGGAGGAUGCGAGCGUUAUCCGGAUUUAUUGGGUUUAAAGGGUGCGCAGGCGGCGUGUCAAGCAAGCGGUAAAAUAGCGGGGCUCAACCCCGUCGAGCCGUUUGAACUGGCGCGCUUGAGUUCAGGCGAGGUAGGCGGAAUUCGUGGUGUAGCGGUGAAAUGCAUAGAUAUCACGAAGAACUCCGAUUGCGAAGGCAGCUUACCAGUCUGCGACUGACGCUCAGGCACGAAAGUGUGGGUAUCGAACAGGAUUAGAUACCCUGGUAGUCCACACAGUAAACGAUGAGCGCUAGGUGUCCGGGUCGCAUG